GAUGAACGCUGGCGGCGUGCUUAACACAUGCAAGUCGAACGGAAAGGCCUGUUUCGGGGGGUACUCGCGUGGCGAACGGGCGAGUAACACGUGAGUAACCUGCCCUUGUCUUUGGGUUAACUACCGUCAACUGGGGCUAAUACCGGCUAGGUGAUCCUGCUGACUGGUGGGUGUUGGAGUGUUUCGGCGGUUUGGGAUGGGUUCGCGGUUUAUCCGCUUGUUGUUGGGGUGGUGGCUUACCAAGGCGUUGCCGGGUAGACGGCCUGUGAGGGUGAGCCACCGCAUUGGGACCGAGAGACGGCCCAGGCACCUACGGGAGGCAGCAGGGGGGAAGAUUGCACAAUGGGUGGAAGCCUGAUGCUGCAACGCCGUGUGCGGGAUGACGGUCUUCGUAUUGUAAACCGCAUUCGCUCAUGACGAAGCUUGGUGUGACGGUAGUUGGUAAAGAAGCACCGGCUAACUACGUG
This 467-nucleotide ribosomal RNA is filed under the name uncultured bacterium. RNAcentral's name for it is "partial 16S ribosomal RNA". It matches the Rfam family "Bacterial small subunit ribosomal RNA", at positions 28 to 507 of the family's 1533-position model. The record is from RNAcentral.